RNAcentral lists this ribosomal RNA (449 nucleotides) under uncultured bacterium. RNAcentral describes it as "bacterial SSU rRNA". It matches the Rfam family "Bacterial small subunit ribosomal RNA", at positions 29 to 524 of the family's 1533-position model. The record is from RNAcentral.
AACGAACGCUGGCGGCAUGCCUAACACAUGCAAGUCGAACGAGACCUUCGGGUCUAGUGGCGCACGGGUGCGUAACGCGUGGGAAUCUGCCCUGGGGUACGGAAUAACAGUGAGAAAUUACUGCUAAUACCGUAUGAUGACGUAAGUCCAAAGAUUUAUCGCCCUGGGAUGAGCCCGCGUAGGAUUAGCUUGUUGGUGAGGUAAAGCUCACCAAGGCGACGAUCCUUAGCUGGUCUGAGAGGAUGAUCAGCCACACUGGGACUGAGACACGGCCCAGACUCCUACGGGAGGCAGCAGUGGGGAAUAUUGGACAAUGGGCGAAAGCCUGAUCCAGCAAUGCCGCGUGAGUGAUGAAGGCCUUAGGGUUGUAAAGCUCUUUUACCCGGGAAGAUAAUGACUGUACCGGGAGAAUAAGCCCCGGCUAACUCCGUGCCAGCAGCCGCGGUAAU